RNAcentral lists this long non-coding RNA (328 nucleotides) under Carica papaya (papaya). RNAcentral describes it as "long non-coding RNA (CPAP_LNC013271)". The record is from RNAcentral. Lineage: Eukaryota; Viridiplantae; Streptophyta; Magnoliopsida; Brassicales; Caricaceae.
UUCAGAGUCCUUAUACUCCACACUCUUUCCAAAUUUCUCUCAUUCCUAAUUCACUUAUUCCAUACCUAAGUUCUCAAUUUCUACAGAUAAUAAAAUACAAACACACACAAAAUAUAAGAUAUCAUCACGCACAUCAAAGCCAGACAUUUCAAAUCACUUUCUGAAUCAUCCUAUACCAGAUCACGCAGCAAGCACAUGAUAUUCAGAUUUCUUGUGCAACUGUACUAGAUCACACAAUAAGUAUAGUGCAUCUUGCAUCUGCACCAAUCACACAGCAAGUGCAGUGUACUCAAAUUUUGUACGUACACACACUGGUUAUACAUGUCAC